RNAcentral lists this ribosomal RNA (492 nucleotides) under uncultured bacterium. Its description in RNAcentral is "partial 16S ribosomal RNA". It matches the Rfam family "Bacterial small subunit ribosomal RNA", at positions 29 to 507 of the family's 1533-position model. The record is from RNAcentral.
AGUGAACGCUGGCGGUAGGCCUAACACAUGCAAGUCGAACGGCAGCACAGUAAGCGCUUGCUCUUACGGGUGGCGAGUGGCGGACGGGUGAGGAAUACAUCGGAAUCUACUUUUUCGUGGGGGAUAACGUAGGGAAACUUACGCUAAUACCGCAUACGACCUACGGGUGAAAGCAGGAGAUAUUCGGACCUUUCGCGAUUGAAUGAGCCGAUGUCGGAUUAGCUAGUUGGCGGGGUAAAGGCCCACCAAGGCGACGAUCCGUAGCUGGUCUGAGAGGAUGAUCAGCCACACUGGAACUGAGACACGGUCCAGACUCCUACGGGAGGCAGCAGUGGGGAAUAUUGGACAAAGGGCGCAAGCCUGAUCCAGCCAUACCGCGUGGGUGAAGAAGGCCUUCGGGUUGUAAAGCCCUUUUGUUGGGAAAGAAAAGCAGCAGGUUAAUACCCCGCUGUUCUGACGGUACCCAAAGAAUAAGCACCGGCUAACCUCGUG